GAUGAACGCUGGCGGCGUGCCUAAUACAUGCAAGUCGAGCGAAUGGAUUAAGAGCUUGCUCUUAUGAAGUUAGCGGCGGACGGGUGAGUAACACGUGGGUAACCUGCCCAUAAGACUGGGAUAACUCCGGGAAACCGGGGCUAAUACCGGAUAACAUUUUGAACCGCAUGGUUCGAAAUUGAAAGGCGGCUUCGGCUGUCACUUAUGAUGGACCCGCGGUGCAUUAGCUAGUUGGGGAGGUAACGGCCCACCAAGGCAACGAUGCGUAGCCGACCUGAGAGGGUGAUCGGCCACACUGGGACUGAGACACGGCCCAGACUCCUACGGGAGGCAGCAGUAGGGAAUCUUCCGCAAUGGACGAAAGUCUGACGGAGCAACGCCGCGUGAGUGAUGAAGGCUUUCGGGUCGUAAAACUCUGUUGUUAGGGAAGAACAAGUGCUAGUUGAAUAAGCUGGCACCUUGACGGUACCUAACCAGAAAGCCACGGCUAACUACGUGCCAGCAGCCGCAGUAA
This 514-nucleotide ribosomal RNA is filed under the name uncultured bacterium. RNAcentral describes it as "partial 16S ribosomal RNA". It matches the Rfam family "Bacterial small subunit ribosomal RNA", at positions 28 to 523 of the family's 1533-position model. The record is from RNAcentral.